GGAAGUGUGCUCAGUGGUAGAGUGCCUGCUUAGCAAACAUGAGGCCCUGAGUUCAAAUCCCAAUACCACCA
RNAcentral lists this transfer RNA (71 nucleotides) under Dipodomys ordii (Ord's kangaroo rat). It matches the Rfam family "tRNA". Rfam says of the family: Transfer RNA (tRNA) molecules are approximately 80 nucleotides in length. Lineage: Eukaryota; Metazoa; Chordata; Mammalia; Rodentia; Heteromyidae. The record is from Rfam by way of RNAcentral.